Molecule: transfer RNA, 98 nt
Filed under: Gemmatimonadota bacterium
Lineage: Bacteria; Pseudomonadati; Gemmatimonadota
Description: tRNA-Sec
Rfam family: Selenocysteine transfer RNA
Source: RNAcentral
GGGAGUGGAUGGGGCGCUGGUGGCCCUCGCGGGCUUCAAACCCGUUGCGGCGUGCUAAUCACACGCUGGGUGGGUUCGAUUCCCACACAUUCCCGCCA